AACACUGUUAACCUGCGGUACCUGCGGAGGGAUCAUUACAGAGUUGCAAAACUCCCUAAACCAUUGUGAACGUUACCUAAACCGUUGCUUCGGCGGGCGGCCCGGGUCCUUCCCGGCGCCCCUCGGCCCUCGCGGGCGCCCGCCGGAGGUAAACCAAACUAUUGCAUUGUAUGGCCUCUCUGAGUCUUCUGUACUGGAUAAGUCAAAACUUUUAGCAAUGGAUCUCAGAUCGGAAGAGCA
This 240-nucleotide unclassified non-coding RNA is filed under the name soil metagenome. RNAcentral's name for it is "partial contains 5.8S ribosomal RNA, internal transcribed spacer 2, and large subunit ribosomal RNA". The record is from RNAcentral.